GUCGAGGUGGAAAAUACGCAGUGGGAUCAGCUUGCAUUGGAGGUGGCCAAGGCAUCUCCCUGAUCAUCCAGAACACAGCCUGAAGGGAUUGCAAGCAUCCUACCCACCCUCACUUGGCCAGGCUACGGAACACAGGCGACCUUUGAGUCAGCCCUGCUGUGACAGUAAAUGCAUUUGACCAAGCCUUGAUGGGUUCUGUCUACUUCAUACCUGCCUAGCGUGUUAGAAUAAAAAGACCAGCCAUCAGAGGCCUUUAGAGAUACCUACUGGUGUCAUUGUCAGCAGCCACCACUGUAUGCCUUACAUGGUGAAAUUACAAACUGAAUAAAUGUUGCCUUAACUCCAGCU
Molecule: long non-coding RNA, 348 nt
Filed under: Rattus norvegicus (Norway rat)
Lineage: Eukaryota; Metazoa; Chordata; Mammalia; Rodentia; Muridae
Description: long non-coding RNA NONRATT013576
Source: RNAcentral